AGAGACGACACCUCCAAGUGUUCAGACUCGUCUUUCAGACCCCGCAGUAGCCUAAAUGACUAAUCCCCCAGGACACUAUACAAGAUAGGGAAGUAAUUCUACACCUCCACUAUCUCCAGCCGAUAACAGACCAUACAUUACCUGAUGUGACAGCCGGAGAGUGCUAUAUGUAUGAGAGACCAUGACUAGAAGUGUGAGAGGAGACAACGCCUGUCUAUACAAUGUGACAUCACCGAGACUGAUAUAUAACCUGGGUUGUGUCCGAUCGGUUUCCCCUAUUUUUAUCACCCUGACAGAUAUGAGUUGCCUUCUAAGUUUUUCCCACACGGUCCUGACCUCUCGUCUGGGAAUCUCUGAAUGAGUCUAAUGGCCUCCCAGUCCGGCACAUCCCACCUCCAGUAUAGGGGACGCUGGUAUUACUGGGACAUUACCAUCAGGUUGGAAAACCCUUUAACCCUAUAAAUGCUG
Hyla sarda is the source of this 468-nucleotide long non-coding RNA. RefSeq lists it as uncharacterized. NCBI's taxonomy places the organism in Eukaryota, Metazoa, Chordata, Amphibia, Anura, Hylidae. The transcript is spliced from 3 exons. The record is from RefSeq and is a predicted model, not a curated record.